RNAcentral lists this ribosomal RNA (1041 nucleotides) under marine metagenome. Its description in RNAcentral is "bacterial SSU rRNA". It matches the Rfam family "Bacterial small subunit ribosomal RNA", at positions 346 to 1410 of the family's 1533-position model. The record is from RNAcentral.
AGGCAGCAGUGGGGAAUUUUCCGCAAUGGGCGAAAGCCUGACGGAGCGACGCUGCGUGAAGGAUGACGGCCUGAGGGUUGUAAACUUCUUUUCUCGAAGAAGAAUCAAUGACGGUAUUCGAGGAAUAAGCAUCGGCUAACUCUGUGCCAGCAGCCGCGGUAAGACAGAGGAUGCAAGUGUUAUUCGGAUUGAUUGGGCGUAAAGCGUCUGUAGGCGGUUUAGAAAGUCUUUUGUGAAAUACUUCAGCUCAACUGGGGCUCCGCAAAAGAAACUUCUAGACUUGAGGGAAGUAGAGGUACAGGGAAUUUCCGGUGGAGCGGUGAAAUGCGUAGAUAUCGGAAGGAACACCAAUAUGGCGAAGGCACUGUACUGGGCUUUACCUGACGCUAAGAGACGAAAGCUAAAGGAGUGAUUAGGAUUAGAUACCCUAGUAAUUUUAGCCGUAAACGAUGGAAACUCACUGCCGAGCCGGUAUUCGGAGCGGUGGUCAAGCUAACGCGUGAAGUUUCCCGCCUGGGGAUUACGCAUGCAAAUGUGAAACUCAAAGGAAUUGACGGGGACCCGCACAAGCGGUGGAGUAUGUGGUUUAAUUCGAUGCAACGCGAAAAACCUUACCAAGGUUUGAAAUCAUUCUAAAACUCUUUGAAAGAAGAGCCUCCUUCGGGAUAGAAUGACAGGUGGUGCAUGGCUGUCGUCAGCUCGUGUUGUGAAAUGUCAAGUUAAGUCUUGUAACGAGCGCAACCCAUGUCUUUUGUUGCUGUUUACAGUGCUUAAAAGAGACUGCCGCUCUACAGCGGAGGAAGGUGUGGAUGAUGUCAAGUCAGCAUGCCCCUUAUAUCUUGGGCUACACACGUACUACAAUGGUAGGGACAAUGAGUCGCAAACCUGCGAAGGCUAGCCAAUCUCAAAAACCCUAUCUCAGUUCGGAUUGUACUCUGCAACUCGAGUGCAUGAAGGUGGAAUCGCUAGUAAUCGCUGGUCAGCAUACAGCGGUGAAUACGUUCCCGGGUCUUGUACACACUGCCCGUCACACCAUGGAAG